This 1058-nucleotide long non-coding RNA is filed under the name Mus musculus (house mouse). Its description in RNAcentral is "zinc finger protein 783". Lineage: Eukaryota; Metazoa; Chordata; Mammalia; Rodentia; Muridae. The record is from RNAcentral.
UCAGGCCUUGGAGAAGAAAAGUGGAUUCUUGCCUGGCCCGCUUGCUGACUCUGGAGGGAUGCUCAGGGACAGCAGAGAAGAAGCUGGCUGACUGUGAGAAGACAGCUGUGGAGUUCAGCAGCCAGCUGGAGGGCAAGUUGGCCGUGCUGGGGACCCUGCCUCAGGAGUCUAGGCUGCUGCAUGAAGAACCUCAUGGGCAACUGGAACUUCUGGGUCCAGCGGCUUCCCCCUGGCAACAAGGGGGAGGUCCCCAAGAGUGGGCCAAGCUGGAGGACUGGCAGAAGAGGCUCGACAAGCAUGUGAUGGGGGCAGCUAUGAGAUGCUCGUUUCCCUGGAUUAUGCCAUCUCCAAACCGGUCAUUCUCACCCAGAUAGAGAGGGGAGAAGAGCCUUGUCCUGCAGGCCCCUGGGGCCAGGAGAAGGGGGGUGAGGAGAAGACAAUAUGUCAAAGGAAACCAAACACCAGUAUUUCUCUGAGUCCAGAGCAGGCCCCAAGUCCAGCUAGCCCUGCCCAGGAGGAACUGAAUCAAAGGCAGACACCUGAGCAGCAGCAAGAGGAAGCAACCAUGAUUCCACCUGAGCCAGGCACUGGGAUUCCAGCAAGCACCAGCCCUUUAUCACUUAAACAGGAGGAAGAAUCUGCAGAGGGAGGAGAGUUGCCACCCUCCCCUUCCACAGAUAGCCUGCUUUCUGUGGAGCCAGGAUCUUGCCAUCUGUCUCAGAAUGAACUCAUGGACCUAGAUGAGGGAGGGGAGUGACUUGCCUGUAUGUCACCCAUCCCAAACAAAUCCACCAAGGUGUGUGCUGCAGGACUCUAUGCAGGGUCCCUGGCCCCUGGCUUUUGCAGCUUGCUUCCUUCUCUGGUGUUCUUAGCUCAGCUUCCAGGAAUGAGGCAUAAGACAGCAAGCAAAGUUGAACAAUACAUGAGACACUCCUGCCCCGUGGUGUCUAUGACUAGGACCCCUGGCCUGAUCUAAUGGCACUCACAAAGACUGGGGAAGGGAGGGGAGGCCUGAACCUGGAGUAAGGCCUGGAUCGAAUGGCAGGGGAAGCCAUGAG